CCACGCCGUCGGAGAAUUAUGGAACGGCCACGCUGAGCUGGUGAACAACGAGGAGGAUGGCAGUAACCGCAGCGCCAGCCGCGGAGGAGAGAAGGGCUUGUGCAUGCGUCUGUUUUGUUUGGCUCUUCGGCAGCAAAGAACAAGAGGACGCAACCCAAGCCCAAGUGUCAGAGGAAGACCACGAACAUAUUAUGGAGAUGCUCUACGAACCUCCCAAAAUGAAGUUGUUGCUCAACCUUGGCCUUUUUUUGGUGUGCUCCUUGGGAGUUUUCAUGUUUGUGUAUUUUUCCUAUAGUUUAGCUCCUGCUAUUGGGACCAUAUGUAAAGCAAUUUGAACAGUGGCACCUGUAGUAUCGGAGUUUCGUUAUUAAAAUGCGAUCUGGAGUCUGUAAUAUUUACAGUAGGAUUUUAGCUUCUUUGGAGGACCUGAAGAGAUAGGAGCUUGAAUGUCAGACUUUGGGAAAUUAUUAGUUCCCUUACUGUAGAUGGACAAAAUAUCUAUAUCAUGUACAACUAUUUCAAAAGGUUCUUCCUACCAACCAUUUAUGCUGAUGGGCAUAUAUGGGAUUACUGGACAACUAAGUUAAAUGUGUAUAACCGUUUUUUCUCUAGCAAGUGGUAUGGUAAGAUUAUUUAUUUUUGUUAUUUUUUUCCUCUGGAAAAAAAGACUUAGAUGUUUUUCUCUGUAUUCAGUGUUGGCUGUUUGUGACUGUUUUGGGACCGUUGAGAUAAUUUAAUCAUUAUUCUUGUCUUUUUCAAGUAACCAUCUAGUGUCUGUAGCAUAUCUUGAACAGCGGUCAUACCUAUCGCAGUGUGCAGACUAUAUUAGUGAUCCUCACAAUGGUGUUCCUAUAAUUGUGUGUGUUUGUUUAGUUGGCCCAUAGCCAUAUGUGUAAUUCUGUCUACUCCUAGUGGUGAACUGUUGUACUGCUGUUUGAAGCACUUUCCAAGCCAAGCCUUCAAUGAUCUAUUUUUUUUUUGUGUGAUAUUUUUCUGUUUUGUUGUUUUUCAAAGGUAUGACCAAAAAUCCACCAAAAAGCCUUUAUUAUUUAAAACAGGGAACAUUAACACCAGAACGAGCUGUGGUCUGAUGGUAAGAACUAAAAUACCCAGAUGGCAGCUGGUUAAUGAACUGAUCUCGCCCUGGUUCUCGGCCUCCAGGUCGGUUCUAGAGUUUACUUCCAUCUAGAAACCAGUGUAACACAGAACCAGUAACUCAUAUAUGUCCAUGAAAAGCUGUAGGUAUUGCUUCAUUACCUGAUACAGUUUAACAUGUGUCUGCGAGGCAUAUUCUAUAGUCCUGUUCCUCAUAAAGAUUAAAUGUAUUGAACAAUAUCUUGUGUUAAAGAUAUUUCCCAUUGAUGGAUUUGGAGUAUUCCUCAAAAACAAAUGGUUGACGACAAUUAUUAAAAGAGUUGCCCUUUGAAAGCACAUCCAAGCCUUUAGAGAGCACUCAAAAGCACUUAAUGAAGCACUGAAAAAAAAAAAUGCCCGACAUAUCCUUAUUUAUAUAUCCCAAAAUGUAACAUCAGUGAAUGGGAUGUCUUGUCAUUGCUGUGCAAAAUGAUAUUUAGUUCUUCUAGAGGAAGAAUCCAGUAUGUGGUUGUGGAACCUGUGCAGGGUUGUUUGUGCCUCUACUGUUUCAUACGCAUUGUUUGUUGAGAAGCAAUGGAAGAAUGGAAGCCCAGCAAUUGUUACGAAAUGUAUGAGUACAAAAUAUUGAUAUAUUCUGUUGCCUUUUUGUUUGAUAUUUAAUGAAAAACUGCUGUUGAAAAAGAUGCAGUAAAAUGAUAUGCUGUUGUUAUUUUGCAUUCCUUAAAAUUAAAUUACUGAACGUCUAUGAGGCAUUUAAUUGUCCCUCGUGCACAGAGAUGUGAUGUAAAGUCUGAGGGGUUACAUUCAGUCCCACAUGCUGGGUGAGGUGAUUUGGAUCUUCAUUGCCCUGAUCAUUUAUUUAGCCCUUUCUGUCCCUGGGCCUUGGGUUAUUUCAUGAAAUCCAGUCAGAAAGUCUUAUCCAGAUCAAACUGAAUAGCACACUGAGGUUGUAUGUGAGUGAAUUUCAGAAAGUGACUAGGUAUGUGUACUUGCUCUGCCAGUUGGUCUAUAGUGUAUAAGAAAGGGCACAGAUAGAACAUAAAUGAAAUGCAAUAAAAAAAAGUCUCCACAAUCAAAUUUGCUCCUGUCUUUAUUGAUGACUUGAUAGGCAUGUAAAUGCAAUCCUGGCCCGGAUUAAUUAUUGAUUGAUUAAUUAUUGAUUGAUUAAUUAAUGGCAUUUUUACCCUUUCUGACCUCUUCUGUGGUGGACCUCAAUCUGGUGGCUGAGGGUCAAGCUGUAUAUCUCACAAAGGCACAGAACUAUCAAUGGUGAAGUGUUUACGGCAUGUAAAGCAUAGCAAGCAGUGGCAAUGACAAACAUACACAUUUUGAUCACAGACAAGCGGCACAUGAAGUAAUAACCAGAAGAGAAUGAACAGAAUAGAGAGAGUUGUGAGAGAAUGGUUAUAAUGUUCAAUGUACACGAAGAACAUAAAGAUGUAAGUUAGAUUGAACAUCACAAGUUGUUUUCGUUGUGUUUUUUUUUCUUGAUGUUUUUCUGCAUAUUAUAUUUCAUUUUUGUCACACUGAGGUUGUGUUAUAUUUUAUUAAUAAUUUACAGUAUGUCAAACUCUGUUUUUAGGUGUGGUUUGAUUUGAAGCAUCAUUAUUUGUCCCAAAGUUUAUUUGUGACUUCUUCCACAGGAGUACGCUACUUUGUCAGUCAUCAAUCAUAUGACACCUUUACUGAUCUCUGAUUUAAACUGAUGAACUAUGGCAAUGAUAAUAUAACAAACUGAUUUGCUUUAAUGUUUUUGCAAGUCUGUUUGAGUGAUUUUUCAGUUGCUUUAAAGUCAUUUGAAUUCAUCUUUUAGAGGGCCGAAUGAAUUCAGCAACCAGAUCAAAGCAUUAGAGGAAACAUGGCUGGUAAAGAUUCACUAGUUGAUACGUUUUAUUGAAACACUGAAUAGAUUGUUCUACAUCUAUGCAUUUUAUGAAUAGUGUAGACCAGUUAGAUGUCAUUGUCCAUACUGGAAUAAUUUGUUCAAUGUAUGUGUUUUUUGAAAGACACCAGUAGCAUUGGUUGAUUCAUUAUCCUGAGGGAUAAAUACCUGUAUAAACUUCCUGCUUUUAUAUUUCAAAAGUUGCUAAUAAAUGGAUUUGUUGCUGGAAAAACUGAAGUGUACAGUGUUGUGCUUGUGUGUGUUCACUGAUUUUCUCCUGUAUGGGCAGCUUUUUAAUAUCGACAUGCACACACCAAAUCAUAGGCAGCUUUCUACGGUCUGACUUUCACUACAUCCAGUUAACAUCCAGUUUCCCACAGCUAAUGCUAACCGUCAAAAAGGCAAUACAAGGCCUUAGUAUCUAAAAAUAAUAGGUCAGUAUCUCAAAAUAACGAGAAGCUUUAUCACAAUAAUGAAAUGAUAUCUCCAAAUAAUGAAAACAUUUGUGAUAUCAAAAUAGAUAUCACAUACAGUGUACCACCCUGAGGUCUGUUCAGGUAAGGCAGUGGUGUUCACUGAUGUUCUCCCGUGGGCAGCUUUUUAAUAUCGACAUGCACACACCAAAUCAUAGGCAGCUUUCAACUGUCUGAUUUUCACUACAUCCAGUUCAGUUUCCUACAGCUAAUGCUAACUGCCAAAAUGCAAUACAAGGCCUUAGUAUCUUAGUAUCUAAAAAUAAUGUGAAACGUUCUAAAAGGGAUGACUUAAUUUGUAAAAAAUAAACCAAAUCAAAAUAUGGAGAAAGUAUCUUAACAUAAUGGGUCAUCUCAUUGUAAUGACAUACAUGAUCUUUGUUUUUUCAUCACAUUGGUGGAAAUGGGCUUCCAUAUAUUGUAGACGGUGGAUGUUCAAAACUGACAGCGCCAGGUUUGGUUUCAUGAUAUUAUAUUAUAUAUUAUAUGGAUAUUAUAUAAUAUAUUAUAUAUCAUUAUAUUUGUGUCAAAUGUAAUCUAAAAUCCAGUGAGUUAGUCACUCGAGUACGUACACACUCUCAUUAGCUAACUCCCAGUUGGGCCACUUCCUCAUAAACUCACUUACACUUGUCUAGUGAGUGUAAAUGUAUAUUCUAAUGUUGAUGGGUAUAAAACAAUGUUUUUGUGACAUUCCCUUUGUCUGCUAUUGCUCCCUCGCUCGCAUACACGUGCUUGCUGCAUGCCACCCCCUCUCCUCCCGUGCGCAUACUGCCCCCCUCCCUUUCUGUUUUUCGUGCUCACUGGUAGUUUUCCACUGCCCGUGCAUAUGUCUGAGGAAAUAAUGGGGACUUGUUCGUCUUUCACCCGCUGUCAAUGCCUUUAACACCAUAGACAUAUAUAGAUGUCUAUAUAUGUCUAUGUUUAACACGGCGGGCAACAUUGUGUCACGUGACUCCUCCAUUCAUGCCUCAGUCAUGCAUGCUGGCAGCAACAUACGCACCAGCAGUCGCGUGAAAUUCCUUUUUCAUCUCGGAGACGGAGCGCAUUCCUCUGCAUGAAUCCACAAAAUUGGAAGGCGAUAGGAAAAGCAAAUGAUUCAACCCGUCUGAUCUAAUAAUCGUAUACACUGAAAGCCCUCUAUGCUUAGCCGUGAAGUGCUUCUUUGGGUCUGUUUCCCCACACCGAGUCAGUGAUUAAUCUCCUCUUCCAUAGGCUGUUUAGGCUAUUUCACAGACGCAUAAUUACAUAACAGGAUUUACGUUCAUUGACUGGAAUGGGUUUGGACACUGCCAAUCGCCCCACUGCCGUCAUUCCAUGUGCCUGUCCAGUUAGUUUAUCUACGUUUAAUCGACGUACCAUUUAAUGGACGAAUUAUGAUUUGCUGAGAUUUGGUGCUGAUUGAUGUCAUCACAUGCUAUGAAAUUAUUACAACUCUUUACAUAUGUUUCUUGAAAUAUGCACUUUUUACUUUUAGAUAUUUUUCUACACCUUUGGCCCAAAGGUAGGGAGAUGAUGGCACACGUAAUGACAAAUACAUUCUGAAAAUAAAUAGCAAGUACAUUUACAAUCAGAAUAGUUUAUAACAUCCACUCAUGUUUCCUAAUGUAUUAUACAGUGAAUGAUUGGCAUCGUAUAUCUCAUUUCCACAGUCUUUAAAAUGUAAAUAAAAAUUCUCUUUUUGGAGCAUUGGUGACUAAAGCAGUUGCAGCGUACACAUACACACACACAAACACACACACACUCACACACACACUCACACACAUUAAUACAAACACACCUCUCUGAAUCCAGGUUAGUGACAUGCAAGUGGGACAUUCACUGUUAGACUGCCAAAUUACUUGAAUGCCUCUGCUAC
This is a long non-coding RNA of Clupea harengus (Atlantic herring), 5305 nucleotides long. The record is from Ensembl. NCBI's taxonomy places the organism in Eukaryota, Metazoa, Chordata, Actinopteri, Clupeiformes, Clupeidae.